This 137-nucleotide ribosomal RNA is filed under the name Cheilolejeunea xanthocarpa. RNAcentral describes it as "partial 18S ribosomal RNA". It matches the Rfam family "Eukaryotic small subunit ribosomal RNA", at positions 1699 to 1831 of the family's 1831-position model. Lineage: Eukaryota; Viridiplantae; Streptophyta; Jungermanniopsida; Porellales; Lejeuneaceae. The record is from RNAcentral.
UGGUGAAGUUUUCGGAUCGCGGCGACGCCGGCGGUUCGCCGCCGUUGACGUUGUGAGAAGUUCAUUAAACCUUAUCAUUUAGAGGAAGGAGAAGUCGUAACAAGGUUUCCGUAGGUGAACCUGCGGAAGGAUCAUUG